RNAcentral lists this ribosomal RNA (519 nucleotides) under uncultured eukaryote. RNAcentral's name for it is "bacterial SSU rRNA". It matches the Rfam family "Eukaryotic small subunit ribosomal RNA", at positions 1161 to 1696 of the family's 1831-position model. The record is from RNAcentral.
AGGGCACCACCAGGAGUGGAGCUUGCGGUUUAAUUUGACUCAACACGGGGAAACUUACCCGGCCCGGACACUGGAAGGAUUGACAGAUUGAGAGCUCUUUCUUGAUUCAGUGGGUGGUGGUGCAUGGCCGUUCUUAGUUGGUGGAGCGAUUUGUCUGGUUAAUUCCGAUAACGAACGAGACUCUAGCCUAUUAAAUAGGCUGCUGGUUUUAUAACGCCGGCAGGACUUCUUAGAGGGACAGGUGGCGGUUCAGCCGCACGAAGGAGAGCAAUAACAGGUCUGUGAUGCCCUUAGAUGUCCGGGGCCGCACGCGCGCUACACUGAAGUGAUCAGCGUGCAUGUAUAUUAUGCUGCUCCGUCAGGAGUGGCUAACCCGUUGAACCUUCUUCGUGAUUGGGAUAGGAGAUUGUAAUUAUUCUCCUUGAACGAGGAAUUCCCAGUAAGCGCAUGUCAUAAGCAUGCGUUGAUUAAGUCCCUGCCCUUUGUACACACCGCCCGUCGCUACUACCGAUUGAAUGA